Molecule: long non-coding RNA, 278 nt
Filed under: Marmota monax (woodchuck)
Lineage: Eukaryota; Metazoa; Chordata; Mammalia; Rodentia; Sciuridae
Source: RNAcentral
GAUCUGAUCACCGAGGUCUGAGUGAGUGGGCAUCUGCUGGACUCAGAGCCUAAGGCUGAGACUUCUGACACUUGAGCUGAGCCUGCAGAGGGAAUGUCUGUCAUGAGCCUGUCAUGAGUCAGGUGUUUGCAGUGCUUAGAAUUAAUCUAGAAUUGUUUGCUGUGAAUUGAUGGUGUCUGUUGCAGUGCCCAGCAUUAAGGAUUGUCAUUUUCUUGAUUAAGAACCUAUAGAGUGAAAUUGUAUUGAGUGAUUUGAGUGAAUAAAGCAUUGACUAGGGC